UAAAGUGGCGAACGGCUGAGUAACACGUGGGCAACCUGCCCUUUGCACUGGGAUAGCCUCGGGAAACCGAGGUUAAUACCGGAUACUCCAUAUUUGUCGCAUGGCGAAUAUGGGAAAGCUCCGGCGGCAAAGGAUGGGCCCGCGGCCUGUUAGCUAGUUGGUGGGGUAGUGGCCUACCAAGGCAAUGAUGGGUAGCCGGGUUGAGAGGGCGGACGGCCACAUUGGGACUGAGAUACGGCCCAGACUCCUACGGGAGGCAGCAGCA
Molecule: ribosomal RNA, 265 nt
Filed under: uncultured Atopobium sp.
Lineage: Bacteria; Bacillati; Actinomycetota; Coriobacteriia; Coriobacteriales; Atopobiaceae
Description: partial 16S ribosomal RNA
Rfam family: Bacterial small subunit ribosomal RNA
Source: RNAcentral